Molecule: ribosomal RNA, 253 nt
Filed under: uncultured bacterium
Lineage: Bacteria
Description: partial 16S ribosomal RNA
Rfam family: Bacterial small subunit ribosomal RNA
Source: RNAcentral
UACGUAGGGGGCGAGAGUUGUCCGGAUUUACUGGGUGUAAAGGGUGCUCAGGCGGAUUUACAAGUCAGAGGUGAAAUACCGGGGCUCAACUCCGGCACUGCCUUUGAUACUGUAAGUCUAGAGUUUGAAAGAGGGUAAUGGAAUAUCUGGUGUAGCAGUGAAAUGCGUAGAUAUCAGAUAGAACACCAAUGGCGAAGGCAGUUACCUGGUUCAACACUGACGCUAAAGCACGAAAGUGUGGGGAGCAAACAGG